This is a long non-coding RNA of Rhagoletis pomonella (apple maggot), 3051 nucleotides long. RefSeq lists it as uncharacterized. The record is from RefSeq and is a predicted model, not a curated record. The transcript has 2 exons. Lineage: Eukaryota; Metazoa; Arthropoda; Insecta; Diptera; Tephritidae.
UUGGGCCAUUCUAAUAUACACAUAUAUUUUGAAUGAUUAUGAAUCUUGACUAUUCAUCAGAAAUAUAGGGGACAUUUUGCCUGUUCGAAUAGAUCUCUAAUAAAAGUUAAUCAACAACAACUUGGAGGAGAGUAACGAACAAACACAAACACAAACAUUUUCAACAUUUGCACAAACAUGCAAGUUUAAUGUUCAGCUGAUCGAAAUUUUAUUUACAUCCAAAAUAUUUCUCGAUAGUAAAAUGAAAGUGUGAGCUGCUUUACCGGUCAACUGUUAUUUCUCCUGGUUAUAAUUAACUUUAUUUUCAGUUAAUAACUUAAAAAUUAAAUUCCGAAAAAUGAUUGGUUACAAGCAUUAUCGCUAUUUCAUUCAAAAUUUUGCUUAUUAUUUCCCACUAAUUCGCGAUCAGUGUCGUCACACAGCAACACUCGAAUAGUUUGGCAGCACAAAUAAAAAUUGAUAGUGCAGCAUGAGCAAGUUGAAAUAGGAAGCAAUCCAAAGCGUCAAAAUACAAAGCAUCAGUCUCUUAUUUCUAAACCGCACUAGAAGAAAAACCUACACGACGAGACUACAAUGCUCCGUGUAAACACCAUAUGCUGCUGUCAAAACAGUUCCUGCUAGCCUGUCACAGAACAAUCCACUCAAACUGCAGUCUGACAUAGAGAGCUGCAUCACCAAGACACGUAAGAAGACACCUCGGUCAUCUAGAAGCAGACAUCGACCAACAGCUUCAUUCACCACUGAGCCGCGAGGCAUACUUUGGGGGCAUCAACAACCUUAAUCGCGAAGCCGUCAUUUCCGCAAAACGAGGACGCCAAGAAAUUCAACUCCCGCGCGAAACUAGAAAAAGUCUAAAACUUGCCCAACCUAGUUGAAAAUUAGUAUCUAACGGUGGUUGCGCACAUUUGACAUUAUUUACAAUCUGCCGAGGUUUAGAAAAGAGCCAGAUACUUUGUAUUUUGACGUUUUGGAAUGCACCCAUACAUGUAUUUUGUAAAUCAGCUUACGAUCUUUCAGUUGCAGCCAUAACUUGGAAAUUUUAUUUCUGAGACUCAUUUCCGGAAAGUGACAAAAAGAUCAUUCCGGCUGUUCACACGUGGAAAUAAAAUUUAUCUUUGUCAAUGCAACAGCCAAUUGCGUUGGAAAGUACGAAAUAUUGCCACGCCUGACGCGCUCUUUAUUCUUGCUGGCAAUUUUUUCAACAAGAACUAGCAGCUUCCCCUUCAAGUUCAUUGUCACUUGGCGCUUCCAAUUACCCCAAUUUCGCAAGUUUUUUGAGUGCGCGAACGCCAAAACCCCAUAAUUUGUUAUAAUUAUCAAUAACAAGGCCAACAGUUUUCAGGCGCAAAACCUGGACCAUCUAUUUCCUAAAAAAUUUUUUGCGCUGAAUAUUGGCACAAAUUUUAUCUCUAAAAUCUUCUUAAUUUUUUCAAUUCCAAUUAUUCAAACAAUGCAAAUUCCAAAUGGCGGACCCAAUAUUGUACUUUCAAUCGCAAAAAAUUGUUUUGGGAGUCUGAAAAUUGCUGAUCUAUGUAGUCUCUAACCAAUUAACCUUAUAACAAGGGAGGUGUGACUGUCUAUAACGUUUCUUUUGAGCUUUCAAGUCUUCUGAAUACUUACUACCUGAGAAAAGAGAUUGAAAACACACAAUUUCAGUUGCUAUGAGUCGUCGUUCUAUUCUACAUUUUAUAGGUUAUCCUAUUAACAAACUACUAUUAAUAAGAAACAAUAACAAUAACGCUUAAUAAUUUUAAAAACCAAAAUCAUAUCGUUUUAACGCGAACAAUGCAUGCCAAUAACUUUUCAAUUUAACUUAAUACAUCUUGAUUUUUCAAACACUCUGAAUGUGCUAAUUUUUCCAUGAACCUUCAUCAUUCAGGUUAUAUUAAAUCAAUUGAAGUAACAGCCAAUUUUUAUAGCACAAUAAGUACCUACAUUUCAAAUAUGUUCGUAAUCGUAUAAGUAAUAAUCAAAAGCUAAAAUCAAAAAUAUAUUCACGCUCACUGUUUCUAUUAAGUACAGUACAUAUGUAAAUGAAAAAUGCAUGGAAAAAACUUUUUUAUUAUUUUAUUAUUUCUUUUGGUUUUUUAUGGGACAACAUUAGAUGGACGGCAGGAUUCAUAAUUCAUCCCGCCGGGAUUCGAAUAGCACGGGCCAGCGCCAACAGACAAGUAGCCAAUCGAAAUCGGCCGCUAAACAAGGCUACUCACCCUCUUAUUGGACUGGACAGAAUUGAAUGUGAAAAGAAAGGCGUUGCUACAAACACAUUAAUGCAUACACAUAUAUAUAAAUAUUAUAUGUAUAUGUUAAUAAGAAACUCGAUUCCGAUUUAGUAACAACGUAAUCCAAUCAGCUCUAUAAAUCGGUUCCAGCUGCGAAGCAAUUGCGUGCACACAACCAUAACCACACACACAUACACAUACGUACUUCUUUUACUUUUCACAUUGUCUGUCUGCCGGUCCUAUAGUUUUCCUUUAUACGAAUGUAUUGAUGCUUAUGUAUGGUACAUUAGUAUAAAAAAAUAGAAUAGAAUAGAUACGGGCGAAAAAGCGACGAAUUAAAAUUUUGUAUGUUCUUUCCCGUCGGUCCUGCGGUAAUCCCUUUUAAGAAGAUCCAUGUAUUUCCUAAAUAAAUGCACUCAUUUAAGAUAAAAAAAAAAAAAAAAACAUAUUUAAACCCAUAAAAACCACACCCAUAUACCACCACCCACAUUCAUACAACCGUAAAACUUACACUAAAGAAAUUACAAAGCUAAUUAAAAUAAAUAUUAUAUAAUGCUAUUACGAAGCAAAGAGAAUGUUUAAUAAGAAAAAGAAAACUGUAGCGGAGAAAUGAAGAUAGAAGACCACACACACACACACAUACACGACAGAGUUGAAAGGAAGAAAUAUAUAAAUAAAAAUUAAAAUUUAAAUAUUGUAAUCGGUUUAAACUAUAUGUAUAAUUAUAAUAACCUUAAUAUUUAAAUUAAAUACAAAAUACGAUUAAAUCCAAAAUAAACACAGCAAACGCAUAGUUCAUACGCAUGCGCGGUGAAGUCGAAAUUUAAAA